This 138-nucleotide microRNA precursor is filed under the name Marmota monax (woodchuck). Lineage: Eukaryota; Metazoa; Chordata; Mammalia; Rodentia; Sciuridae. The record is from RNAcentral.
GGUUAAGAGCCCCUGAGUUCAAUCCCCGGUAUAAAAAAAUAAUAAAAUAUAUAUAUAUACACACACACAAUAUGUAUUUAUAUCAUACUUAUUCAUUCAUUUUUGGUACUGGGGAUUGAGCCCCAGGGGUGCUUUACC